RNAcentral lists this transfer RNA (86 nucleotides) under SAR202 cluster bacterium. RNAcentral describes it as "tRNA-Leu". It matches the Rfam family "tRNA". Rfam says of the family: Transfer RNA (tRNA) molecules are approximately 80 nucleotides in length. Their secondary structure includes four short double-helical elements and three loops (D, anti-codon, and T loops). The record is from RNAcentral. Lineage: Bacteria; Bacillati; Chloroflexota; Dehalococcoidia.
GCCCGGGUGGCGGAACGGUAGACGCGCUGGACUUAAAAUCCCGUGCCCUUUAGGGCGUGUGGGUUCGAUUCCCACCCCGGGCACCA